This 240-nucleotide unclassified non-coding RNA is filed under the name soil metagenome. Its description in RNAcentral is "partial contains 5.8S ribosomal RNA, internal transcribed spacer 2, and large subunit ribosomal RNA". The record is from RNAcentral.
AAGACUAUAGACCUGCGGAGUACCUGCGGAAGGAUCAUCAUUGAACAAAGCUUUUUCAAGCCUGGGGGGGGGGAGUUUACUCUGCUCUUCCGGCUUGUAAAAACAAACAACUUUGAUACCCAAAAAGAGUCUAUUCUCAUUCCUGCUGGGAAAGAGAGGGGGAAACCCCAGACAAAUACAAGUAGUUGCCUGAUAAAAAAGAGUUUGGAUUGGAAAGAAACAUGAAACAACUUUCAGCAA